Molecule: ribosomal RNA, 253 nt
Filed under: uncultured prokaryote
Description: partial 16S ribosomal RNA
Rfam family: Bacterial small subunit ribosomal RNA
Source: RNAcentral
UACAGAGGGGGCUAGCGUUGUUCGGAAUUACUGGGCGUAAAGGGCGCGUAGGCGGCCCUCUAAGUCGAACGUGAAAUCCCCGGGCUCAACCCGGGAACUGCGUCCGAUACUGGAGGGCUCGAAUCCGGGAGAGGGAUGUGGAAUUCCAGGUGUAGCGGUGAAAUGCGUAGAUAUCUGGAGGAACACCGGUGGCGAAGGCGGCAUCCUGGACCGGUAUUGACGCUGAGGCGCGAAAGCGUGGGGAGCAAACAGG